This 200-nucleotide unclassified non-coding RNA is filed under the name Chloridium sp. RNAcentral describes it as "partial internal transcribed spacer 2". The record is from RNAcentral. Lineage: Eukaryota; Fungi; Ascomycota; Sordariomycetes; Chaetosphaeriales; Chaetosphaeriaceae.
UUAAGUUCAGCGGGUAUUCCUACCUGAUUCGAGGUCAACCACUAAAGAAGAUGGGGUUUUCCGGCCGGGCAACGUCCCACACCCAGAACGAGAGAAAACUACUGCGUUCGGUUUUGGGGCGCCGCCGCCGCUUGCUUUGGGAGGCUGCGUGCGCAGUCCUCCAACGCCAGGCAGGGUCUGAGGGUUGCAAUGACGCUCGA